This 615-nucleotide ribosomal RNA is filed under the name uncultured bacterium. RNAcentral's name for it is "bacterial SSU rRNA". It matches the Rfam family "Bacterial small subunit ribosomal RNA", at positions 115 to 748 of the family's 1533-position model. The record is from RNAcentral.
GCGUGGGUAACCUACCUCAUACAGGGGGAUAACAGUUGGAAACGACCGCUAAUACCGCAUAACCCGCUAGUAUCGCAUGAUACGGACGGAAAAGAUUUAUCGGUAUGAGAUGGACCCGCGUCUGAUUAGCCAGUUGGCAGGGUAACGGCCUACCAAAGCAACGAUCAGUAGCCGGCCUGAGAGGGUGAACGGCCACAUUGGGACUGAGACACGGCCCAAACUCCUACGGGAGGCAGCAGUGGGGAAUAUUGCACAAUGGGGGAAACCCUGAUGCAGCGACGCCGCGUGAGUGAGGAAGUAUUUCGGUAUGUAAAGCUCUAUCAGCAGGGAAGAAAAUGACGGUACCUGACUAAGAAGCCCCGGCUAACUACGUGCCAGCAGCCGCGGUAAUACGUAGGGGGCAAGCGUUAUCCGGAUUUACUGGGUGUAAAGGGAGCGUAUACGGUUAAUCAAGUCAGAAGUGAAAACCCAGGGCUCACCCUUGGGACUGCUUUUGAAACUGAGUAGCUAGAGUGCAGGAGAGGUAAGCGGAAUUCCUAGUGUAGCGGUGAAAUGCAUAGAUAUUAGGAGGAGCACCAGUGGCGAAGGCGGCUUACUGGACUGUAACUGACGUUG